UGUGUGGAAUACUUCGAUUUUACCAUUGAAACCACAGCAGCCAACUAUUAGCAAAAAGUGUGGACAAAAUAAUACAUUCAGAUUAGGGAGUCUAGUCCUAUAGCUUUGAAUGACAGCACAUGUUUUUCCACCUGCUGUUUGGGAUUUAAACAAAGGAAUACAUGACAAAUAUAUUGGACAAAAUGCAUCCAAAGCCAGGCAGAUGUGAUUGUGCAGAAAGAGAGGAGGAAGGGAAAAAUGUGACAAAAACAAUAUACAGUACAGUGAGAUGGAACUUUGCAGUGCAGAGUGUGGAGAGGAGGAGUGGAGGAGGACGAGGCUUCUAUCCGUAUUGUCAUACAAAAUACAGGCACAAAAAUGGGAGACAUGUCAAAGCAAAGAAGUCAAUGUGAAAAGAAACCAAGGGAUUCAGUGGGACAUACGUACUCGCAUAGCUCAUGUUCCCAGAGUCUGCCUGGGUCCAGGCUGGGUCAGGAGGACUGCUGAGGUCUUGAGGCGGGACCAUCCAGUUCAAGAGACAAAGCACCAUGCUUUCAACACCAGUCAGAUGUGAUCCUGCAGAAAAAGAGGAGGAAGGGAAAAAUGUCAGAGUGACAAAAACAAUAUACAGUACAGUGAGAUGGAAUUUUACAGUGCAGACUGGAGAGGAGGAGUGGAGGAUGAGGUUUAUAUUGUCAUACAAAAUACAGGGACAGAAAUGGGGAACAUGUCAAACUGUAGGCAACUUGUACAGAACCAUGUGCAAAGAUGCACUGAGACACUGGAGACAUGCACUAAGACAUUUGCAAUUUGAUGAAAUCAAUGAGAAAGGACAUUCUGAGAUUUGUAUGUGCAGCCUCUAUUAAAAUGUGUCAUCCCCUUGUGUAGAUCUGUAACUUGAUGAUAUACAUGAUAUAAUUCUAUCUUUCCCCGAGAUCAUAUCAAAUCUGUAUUAGAGCUGCCCACCGGCUACAGAUA
Long non-coding RNA from Boleophthalmus pectinirostris (great blue-spotted mudskipper), 957 nucleotides. RefSeq lists it as uncharacterized. The transcript has 7 exons. Lineage: Eukaryota; Metazoa; Chordata; Actinopteri; Gobiiformes; Gobiidae. The record is from RefSeq and is a predicted model, not a curated record.